UACGUAGGCAGCAAGCGUUGUUCGGAGUUACUGGGCGUAAAGGGUGCGUAGGUGGCUCUAUAAGUAUGGUGUGAAAUCUCCCGGCUCAACUGGGAGGGUGCGCCGAAUACUGAAUGACUAGAGUGCGGGAGAGGUGAGUGGAAUUCCUGGUGUAGCGGUGAAAUGCGUAGAUAUCAGGAGGAACACCUGUGGUGUAGACAGCUUACUGGACCACUUCUGACGCUGAGACACGAAAGCGUGGGUAGCAAACAGG
RNAcentral lists this ribosomal RNA (253 nucleotides) under uncultured bacterium. RNAcentral's name for it is "partial 16S ribosomal RNA". It matches the Rfam family "Bacterial small subunit ribosomal RNA", at positions 524 to 776 of the family's 1533-position model. The record is from RNAcentral.